GAGCCGCCGACGGGGCGGGUGGGCUUUGCGGCCGAGCAGGCGGCGCCGUCUUGGGGCCUAGCGGCGAGGCGACCCGCACAGUACUGUAAGAUUGAUGUUAAAGGCAUGGUGUUCACCCCACUUCAUCAGCGUACAUAAGUUAUCUCUUCUUUUGGACCCUUAUUUUAUGCCAUAAUGCAACAAGCUUUAGAACUAGCUUUGGAUCGUGCAGAGUAUGUCAUUGAAAGUGCCCGACAGAGACCUCCUAAAAGGAAAUACCUAUCAAGUGGAAGAAAAUCUGUAUUUCAAAAACUUUAUGACUUGUAUAUUGAAGAAUGUGAAAAAGAACCUGAAGUUAAGUCAAUUCUGUAGCUGACCCAGAGCUCUGGCUAAUCUGGCACCAGGCAGAGAUCACCUGCUGAGAAAUUAAGAAGAAAUGUGAACUUGUUAGAGAAGCUUGUUAUGCAAGAGACUUUGUCAUGUUUAGUGGUCAAUCUAUACCCAGGAAAUGAGGGAUAUUCUCUGAUGCUCAGGGGAAAAAACGGAUCAGAUUCCGAGACCAUUCGACUGCCCUAUGAAGAAGGAGAGUUGCUUGAAUAUUUGGAUGCAGAAGAAUUACCUCCUAUUUUGGUUGAUCUCCUAGAAAAAUCUCAGGUUAAUAUUUUUCAUUGCGGAUGUGUCAUAGCAGAAAUACGUGACUACAGGCAGUCCAGUAACAUGAAAUCUCCUGGUUACCAAAGUCGGCACAUUCUCUUACGUCCAACAAUGCAGACUUUAAUUUGUGAUGUACAUUCAAUAACAAGUGAUAACCAC
Molecule: small RNA, 792 nt
Filed under: Pan troglodytes (chimpanzee)
Lineage: Eukaryota; Metazoa; Chordata; Mammalia; Primates; Hominidae
Description: processed transcript
Source: RNAcentral